GCAAAUAAGAAUAUGGCUUGUGCUAAAAUUAGAAUGAUACAGAGAAGAUUGGCAUGGCCCCUGCACAAGACUGUGAUUCAGUACAAAUGCAGCUUCUCUUAUUCAA
This 106-nucleotide small nuclear RNA is filed under the name Peromyscus maniculatus bairdii (prairie deer mouse). Lineage: Eukaryota; Metazoa; Chordata; Mammalia; Rodentia; Cricetidae. The record is from RNAcentral.